This 257-nucleotide ribosomal RNA is filed under the name uncultured bacterium. RNAcentral's name for it is "partial 16S ribosomal RNA". It matches the Rfam family "Bacterial small subunit ribosomal RNA", at positions 524 to 777 of the family's 1533-position model. The record is from RNAcentral.
UACAUGGGGUGCAAACGUUGCUCGGAAUUAUUGGGCGUAAAGCGCACGUAGGCGGUUCGUUAAGUCGGAUGUGAAAGCCCUCGGCUCAACUGAGGAAGUGCACCCGAAACUGGCGAGCUUGAGUACGAAAAGAGGAUCGCGGAAUUCCCGGUGUAGAGGUGAAAUUCGUAGAUAUCGGGGAGGAACACCGGGUGGCGAAGGCGGCGAUCUGGGUCGAUACUGACGCUGAGGUGCGAAAGCGUGGGGAGCAAACAGGG